AUGGUGGCGGCGGCUACUUGUGAUGCACGCGUAGAUAGAUGGCAUCGCCGUCCCCGUGGCCCGAAAGGUUCCUCGGUCCGGUCGUCGCUGUGGCCUCGGCGCGACGUGCCGUUCGUGGCGCUGCGUCCCCACGCCGUCGCCGCCGUGGUCCUAACUCCCACUGGACCUCCUAGGCCUCAUCAUCGCCGGCCUCCCGGACCCGGCCGAUCGCGCCCACUUCAGCUCCGUGUGCCGUUCCUGGCGCUCGCCCCCCUACCCACGGCAGCUAACUUGGGUCGACGCAGUGUGUCCGCGGGCCGCCGUUUCUCAAGAUCGUCACCCCCGACCUCCCAACGCCAGCCACCAUGGCGCCAUAUGUGGCGCUCGAUCUUCCCACCACGGCGGCAACAGCCGUGGACCGUGCUUCCCGGCGGCUUCUUCCUCGAUGACCUCGCUUCGGAGUCAUCCGACCGCGGGUCGGAAGCAGCCACCUCCUUCCCCAAGAACCUGCACCGCGUUGGCUCCACUGACAGCUGGCUCGCCUUCGACUGGACGGACGACGAGGAAAGGCAUGCAUACUUCUUGCACAACCCUUUCUCAAGGGCAACCGUGCUGCUCCCGGAGCUGGACGCCGUCGUCGGUGAUGUCUCCGAGUUGUUUAGGAUCCGCAAGGUGCUCAUGCGAUCGACCCCCGAUGACCUCAUCGUGGGAAUCACCAAGGACCAGGAACUUAUCUCCCUCCCCAUCACCUUUGACGAUGUGCACGACAUACCCAUGGCUACCACUAUUGAGCAGCUCAUCUGGACCAACAUUGAUGCUGCUGCUCAUGUGGCAGGAGAUGACGAGAACGAAGACGGAAACAACAAAGGCUAUGCGGGUGACGAGCAAAACAACGAUGAGGCUAAGAAUGAUAAGGAUGAGCUUCUUCUUAGCGAAGAGGACAACGCCAAACGUCGUAAUCAUGUCAAAUCGAUGUUAAAAGCUAGGGAUGGCAUGAUAGGCACCAACAUCCAAUUUGAAUCCGACCAUAUCAUCUUUCGGUACUUGGUCGAGUCGUGCGGGAAGCUUCUCAUGGUGAUACGAGAAGCCGAUAGCCCGAGAUUGACUUAUAAGGUGGAGGUUUUUGUGGUCGAUUUCAAUGUCCUUGAAUGGGUUCCGAUCUCUGGCGGCGGGCUAGGUGGCCAGACGCUUUUCAUCAGCAAACUCUUCAGUAAGUCUGUUUUAGCUCGCGGGGAGGCACGCCAACAGACAUCACAUAUAAUCAACUCGUCGUCCAUGAAGAACAAUGGGGAUGAAAACUUCCAGACUACUCGGCAAUGCCGCGCGAUGCCGCUUCCUCUUUUUGUGAGGUUGCCCCCAUUACCGUUGGAGCGACGUCUCCACGACACCAAAACCUACCCCCUCAGUCCUAAAAUAAGUUUCCCUCCCAUCCUCCCUAUGGGCCCGUCGACCGACCAUCGUACUUGGCAGGCCAACACACCGAGGCUUCGGUGCCUUAUGAUGUGGACCUGGUGUUGUUCGACGAAAAGAAAAGGUAUUAUUGUUGAUAUAGCAUCUCCUUACCCCGGGUAA
Molecule: ribosomal RNA, 1551 nt
Filed under: Triticum aestivum (bread wheat)
Lineage: Eukaryota; Viridiplantae; Streptophyta; Magnoliopsida; Poales; Poaceae
Description: partial small subunit ribosomal RNA
Source: RNAcentral